GUUAGCAUAAUUAACUUGCCAGAUGUGAAAGUGUUUUGGGCUCUGACCUGGUUCAUGCCUCUACUGAUCUAGACAAUUGGGAUACGGUACUGAUGUAUUGUAAACGGUUCCAAGCGGGUUCCAGUGUUGAAACGACAGAUGAUGAGCAAAUAAAAAAAUGGAGAACUGCAAUUAGCAAGUACCAAUUCCAGGAUUCUGAUGAAGGUGAAGAUGAGUCUACUCUUCCAGACGAACCGCCAGUCCCAUCGUAUCAGGAGUCUCUAUCGAACCAUGAAAACAUUGCAGUGCCAGCAGACUGUAGAGCUGGACAAGCACCAUACUCCACCAAAGGAGGUUGUUGGCACCUUAAUUGGUGAGGACGGGAUCGUGGUAAUGGCUAGAGCGGAAAGGGUGGACUGUUUGAUGCCGUUCCAUUUGCUCCGUUCCAGCCAUUAUUAUGAGCCAUUCUGCCCUCAGCAGUCUCCACUGUAUUCCACAGCAUCAUAUUCACCACAGCAGCAUGUGUAUGACAGCCAUGGAGAAAUCCAAGGACUCCGGCAGGAAAACAAAUUUCUGACGCACUGAGAGAAGAAGUUAAGGUGCUAAGGUCCGGGUGGUAUCGGAUCACUGAGUGAAGAGGUGGUGCAGGUUGCUACCAUGCUAAGGACAUUUGCUGCUACUGGGCAAUCAGAUCCAAUAUAACACUUUUGCUGCGGCAUAUGGGAACAGUGGAUGAUCGAACUCUUGAGAUGGAUAACAAGAUGAAUACCUUGUUAGCCUAUCAACAGGCCAAUGGGAGCCAUUCAGCAGAACACUGAAAUCCAGGAUGCCAUGGACAAAGUGGUCCAGAUUCAAGUCACCCGUUACCUGAAAGGGGCCUCCGAUCAUGAAGGUCCACUAUAAAGAGAGGAAAGUGAUGGCGGAGGGAAGAGAAGGGAGUAUCUCAUUCCAAACCCCGACAUUCUCAUUCCAAGAUGUGGCUGCCUGGGCUUCCUGGUGACUCCCGUGGGAUAAUAUAUCCUCUGUACUGCAGAGGCGUAACCCCACAGUCACAGCUUUGAUUAAAUCUCCAUGAUUGAUGCAGACUAUUGGCUCCUGCAUGUGUGUGUGAACGCUAGUCUUUGUGUACACCCUCGUGUGCUUGUAUAAUAUUGUACUGCUUGAUGGAAGAGUAUAGAUUUAAAGAUUAGGUACUUCUCUAAUCAUCUACUGCUAGAAUCAUCAAUGUUUAUAAAGGUUGUUUACUGAGAGAAUACCUGGGUGAGAAAUCCUUGAGGCUACUCACCAAUAGUAGAUCACCUUGAGGCCAAAUCAAGUCGCCUGGUGCAUAUAAGCAAGAAUUGCUGAAGAUUGUCCAUAUUUGGCUUGCAAAAUAGAUCAACAUGCCUAACUGAAUAGUGAAGGGAUUCUUCUAGAUGUGAUUGUAAUAGGUUUUUA
Oncorhynchus tshawytscha (Chinook salmon) is the source of this 1416-nucleotide long non-coding RNA. The record is from Ensembl. Lineage: Eukaryota; Metazoa; Chordata; Actinopteri; Salmoniformes; Salmonidae.